Molecule: transfer RNA, 85 nt
Filed under: Methylacidimicrobium cyclopophantes
Lineage: Bacteria; Pseudomonadati; Verrucomicrobiota
Description: Verrucomicrobia bacterium 3b tRNA
Rfam family: tRNA
About the family: Transfer RNA (tRNA) molecules are approximately 80 nucleotides in length. Their secondary structure includes four short double-helical elements and three loops (D, anti-codon, and T loops).
Source: Rfam by way of RNAcentral
GCCCACGUGGUGGAAUGGCAGACACACGGGACUUAAAAUCCCGUGGGAGGCAACUCCCGUGUGGGUUCGAAUCCCACCGUGGGCA